Molecule: long non-coding RNA, 418 nt
Organism: Erinaceus europaeus (western European hedgehog)
Lineage: Eukaryota; Metazoa; Chordata; Mammalia; Eulipotyphla; Erinaceidae
Exons: 2
Source: RefSeq, a predicted model, not a curated record
CAAGCCCAAGUCUUUGUGAUCAGAUGAGCCAACUCCCAGCCUCUACAUUUGUUCUUUCACCCAAAUAUCUUCAUCUUGAAAUUAUAGACCAUUCUAUCAGUACAGGACACCAUGCUCUUCCUUUUGGAUGCUCCUAGCAAAGUCAUAAGAGAGGUACUUACACAGAGCACGUGGAGCACCACUGCUCCCCGUCGUCUGGCCUCAUUGGUGAAGAUGUCUUUGGGAAAUUCAUGCAGAGCUAUGGAAAGAAGAAAGAAAACCAGCUCAUUACAGAGGACCACAUUUUCAGUUCUGGAGAUAUGAGGCUCCUGUUUCUAGCUCUUAUUUUAACACAGGGCAAAUAAACUUGGAUGGGAAACAGUUACAUCAUUGGGGCCCAGGAGUUGGCUCAGCAAAUAAAGUGCAUGUUUGCCAUGUA